GAUGAACGCUGGCGGCGUGCCUAAUACAUGCCAGUCGAGCGAACGGACGAGAAGCUUGCUUCUCUGAUGUUAGCGGCGGACGGGUGAGUAACACGUGGAUAACCUACCUAUAAGACUGGGAUAACUUCGGGAAACCGGAGCUAAUACCGGAUAAUAUUUUGAACCGCAUGGUUCAAAAGUGAAAGACGGUCUUGCUGUCACUUAUAGAUGGAUCCGCGCUGCAUUAGCUAGUUGGUAAGGUAACGGCUUACCAAGGCAACGAUGCAUAGCCGACCUGAGAGGGUGAUCGCCCACACUGGAACUGAGACACGGUCCAGACUCCUACGGGAGGCAGCAGUAGGGAAUCUUCCGCAAUGGGCGAAAGCCUGACGGAGCAACGCCGCGUGAGUGAUGAAGGUCUUCGGAUCGUAAAACUCUGUUAUUAGGGAAGAACAUAUGUGUAAGUAACUGUGCACAUCUUGACGGUACCUAAUCAGAAAGCCACGGCUAACUACGUG
This 497-nucleotide ribosomal RNA is filed under the name uncultured bacterium. RNAcentral describes it as "partial 16S ribosomal RNA". It matches the Rfam family "Bacterial small subunit ribosomal RNA", at positions 28 to 507 of the family's 1533-position model. The record is from RNAcentral.